GUGGUAGUGGUGAAGGACCCUCGCAUGCUUCCCACCACCACCACAAGCAAAAGUGAAUGAGCCCUAAAGCGUUGCCUGAGGGAGGGAGGGAGGAGGAGGUGUCUGAGGGCGGCACUGCAGGCGGGGUGAGGGCGGGGGCGGGGCUGCCAGUCUAUCGCCUUGCCCUCCGAGUGUUACCCAGAAGCCUCAGCGCCGCGGCAGGGAGGCAGGCGGGGCUUUAAGGAUAAGGAAAGGCGACGAAACACUACGGCACAAGUUAUCGUUCAGCAGCAGGGAGGGAGAGGAGAGGAGAGAGAGGGAGGGUCAGAGGGAAGUGCCUUGAUCCUUAGUUCAAGUCAUAGUUGGUCUGCGGAGUGCCAGGACCAACAGACACCAGCGCCUCUUGCUCGUCCUCCACCACCUCCUUUACUUGUGUUGAUAUAGCUUGUGUCGUCCACCACCUGCUCCUCAUCCACCUGUAGCGAGUUUACUCCUCCACCUCCUCCACCAUCUCCACCUCCUCCACCUUCUGCUAUACAUCGUCCACCUCGUCCUUCAAAAUGGAGCAUCACGUGGAUCCUACACCGAUUAUCUUCCACUAUAUUCCCAACGUUGGACUUGAGGUAAGGCGAGUGGAAGCGAUUUGUUGUGCCGAUUCUAAAUUACAGCACGGAGGUAAAGUUGGAGUUUUUCAGGAGCCACUGCUACUCUCUCUACUGCAACUCGCUGUGAUCGCGGUAUAGGGCAGCCUCCAUGAACCGUCUUAGGGUCUUUCAUAACGACAUCCUCAAGCGGUUUCUGGGGGUUCCUAGAUGGACUAGCUCAUCCCUGGCCUUCACCGGGCACGGGAUGAACUGUCUGGCUGUGCUGCAUCGCUACGCCGCGUGCAGUAUGAGGAGUAGAGUGGAACAAUCUGGGAACUUCAUCAUCACCUCCGUCAGACAGAGCUCGGUCUGUGUAUGUGGAUCUAUGCGGCGGGAGUUGCUGGGCCUUCUGUACGUGUAGAUUGUGCAUAAGUGUUCCUUGCACACGGAUAUAUAAUUAAAGGCCGUCAUCUAUUUAAGUCUAUAUGUGUUUGUGUUAGUGGGUAAUAAUAAUGUUAAGUCUUCCCUUGUGCGCUUACAUUCAAUACGCCCAAGAAUAUAUAUAUUUUUUUUAAAUUUUGACAGCUUAUUUUCAUCCAUGUACACUUGUUUUACCUGUGAUCUCAAUGACAACCACAGUUAUUUAUUCUUUAUUCCUCUUUUAUAUGUCAUAGUGGCCAGACAUCACGCAGCUUUAUCUUAUUUAUUUCGUUAUGACUCUUAUUGCAGCGAUAUUAAUGACAAGUAAAAAUACCAUAAUAUGUCGAAGCUAUAUCUCU
Molecule: long non-coding RNA, 1342 nt
Organism: Eriocheir sinensis (Chinese mitten crab)
Lineage: Eukaryota; Metazoa; Arthropoda; Malacostraca; Decapoda; Varunidae
Exons: 3
Source: RefSeq, a predicted model, not a curated record